GUUAACAAAAUUACGUUAAUAUCGGUUUUUGGAAAAAAUCGACGUUGUAUUAUCCUAUUUAAAUUAUUUUUUCGUGCUUCUCGCGCUUCAACUCUACUCUCACUCUUACCCUUCGGCCUCACGACGGUCCUCUCCUUCACGACUUUGACUUGUUGCCAUCCCCGCAUUCUGUUGCGAUGCUGUCAUCACCUUACUUGCAUUCUGUUGCGACGUUAUCACCACCUCACUUGUGUUCUGCUGCGAUGCCAUCGUCGUUUCAUCUUCUCGAUACCUUGCGACUUGAAGUCUUAUUUGGUUUCGUGGCCUGUUCCCUCGCAACUUCCUCCCCAAGUUAGCCCUAUCUGAUCAACGCCUUUGCUUUGUGUUUGAAAAUGUGCUAUCUGAAAUUGAU
This 391-nucleotide long non-coding RNA is filed under the name Glycine max (soybean). Its description in RNAcentral is "long non-coding RNA (GMAX_LNC003534)". Lineage: Eukaryota; Viridiplantae; Streptophyta; Magnoliopsida; Fabales; Fabaceae. The record is from RNAcentral.